UAAUAAGUGUUUUAUGGCACUUUUUAAAUCCAUAUCCACCUUGUGUGCAAUGUCGGUCGAUCUUCUUCAUUUGAGGAUCGACCAAACAUCAACCUUUAUCUUUUAACUCUUUGUCUGAAAAAUAUUAUGAAUAAACAAUUCAAAAUA
RNAcentral lists this unclassified non-coding RNA (147 nucleotides) under soil metagenome. Its description in RNAcentral is "partial internal transcribed spacer 1". The record is from RNAcentral.